This 1397-nucleotide long non-coding RNA is filed under the name Macaca fascicularis (crab-eating macaque). RNAcentral's name for it is "lncRNA (ENSMFAG00000050741.1)". Lineage: Eukaryota; Metazoa; Chordata; Mammalia; Primates; Cercopithecidae. The record is from RNAcentral.
UGAUAUGAAAGUAGAAAAUAAAUUCUUAGCCUGUUCCAUCAAUGAUAUAAUAGUUACAUUUUGAUUCAUUAAUGAUGAUCUGGUUUGUUGCCCAAGCUGGCCUUGAACUUCUAAGCUCAAGAGAACCUCCUGUCUCAGCCUCCUGAGUAAUAUGAUAACAUGAUCUGUUUUACAUGAAGUACUUAUGGAUUUAAACUAUUGCUGGGACCCAGCAACAGGAUAUUGGUAUAGUAAAGAAAUGGAAAAAAAUCUGAGCUGCAAUAUAAAAUGUCAAAUUUAGCCAGUAUGCCAGUACCAAUAGGAGAUUGUUUUAAGUUUUCAAGACAUUUGAUAAUCAUUACAUUAGCCAGAAAAAUAGCGCUUUGUUUAUAAGCAUGGGUUAUUUUAGAUAUUUUAGAUAUUAAAUCAGUGAGAUUUGUCAUUUAUCAAAUUUGUUCCUCUUUUACAAGCAAAAUAUCAAUCAGAUUAGAAAAUGGCCCUUCCAUCUGUUAGAAAAUUAUAAUACACUGAUUUUGUUAGAAUAAGAUACAUUAGUACCAUCUGUUGGAAAAUUAUCACUAUAAUUAUAUAAAUCAUCUGAAAUAAUUAAGAUAUCUGUAUUAGUCAUCUAUUGUUCCUUAACUACCUGACAACUUAGCAAACUUAAACAACAAUAUGAUUAGCACCUUACACAGAUUCUCGGGAUCAGCAGUUGGAAGUCUCUUAGAGGGCAAGGGAUUGUAGCCAAGAUGUCAGCCUAGGCUCCAGUUAUCUGAAGGCUUGACUGGGGCUGGAGAAUCUGCUUCCAGCACAGCUCCUUCACAUGGCUGUUGGCAGGAGGCUUCAGUACCUCACCCAAUGGGCCUCUACUUAGGUCAGCUUAAGUGUCCUAACAUUGUGGCAUCAUGCUGAAAAGCAAGCAGAAUAUUCCUACAGUGCUUUCCUAUUAUUUUAUUUAACAUGUAAAUAAUUAAUUUAGAGAUGAAAAUCUAGAGGCUUGAAUUAUAAAAUAAAGUCUUCAUAACAGGUCAUAUCAUACUGUUUAGAAAAGGGUGGCUUAGUCCAAACCAAAAUACUUAGAAAACCUAGGAAGUUAGGUCCCAGACUUAGAAUGUGGCUAGUGAAGUGAUAAGAAACAUGCCUUGAUCCAUAUGAGCUAGACCAUGGGCACAAAUCCAGAAUUUUAUUUAGUUUUAUGAAGUUAUAGUGGCCUAGGUCAGGAUUAAAAUAAAACAAAAUAAAUAAAACAAGUUGUCUUCCUAUUCCCCUUGAACUGAAAGCAGAGUUAGGGAAAACAUGAAAACUCAUAGAAAUUUAAGAUUUAGUUGCAAUUGUAUCUUUGAGUGUAUUUUUUAUUUACAGUUUUCACUCUUCUAAUAAAAAUUGUCUGUAAUGUGAAAUUAAACCCUAUUAAUUCA